Long non-coding RNA from Pygocentrus nattereri (red-bellied piranha), 803 nucleotides. RefSeq lists it as uncharacterized. Lineage: Eukaryota; Metazoa; Chordata; Actinopteri; Characiformes; Serrasalmidae. The transcript is spliced from 3 exons. The record is from RefSeq and is a predicted model, not a curated record.
UUUGAGGAGAGCGAGCGAGGAAGCCACGCCCCUCCCCACGCCGCCCCGCCCUCUCUGGACGUGGCCGCGCCCCCUCGCUCGCCGCUUGGUUUGCCAGGCGUGGUCUUUACCUCAGGUAGCGUGGCGGCUUGUUUAAACAGCGUGGAAAUUUUCUGGAUAUUUUUAAGUACUGUUUUAAGCCUGGACGGUCUGUUUAGCCUUUAAACACGACGUCUGGCUACUUGUGGUUUUUGUCUGAGGCCGACUUCAUUAUGGAGCCACACAAGAGGAAGAAUUCAGGAAAACUGUCCCUGAAAAAAUGGCUGAUUCUUGAGAUGUGAAUUUUUGGAUCUAAUGACUGACUCGGUUCAUCCAGAGUUUGGAAUUUCCCCAGGGAAGCCACUACCACUGCUUUUGAAGAACAAACUAAUUGGGAAGACUGUAGCCAACUCAUCAUUGGUCAGUUUCUGGUCACAGGACUUUUGUAGGUGGUGGACCAUUCUCAACACAGCAGUUACACUGACAUGGUGGAGUGUAUCAGGCACAGCAGUGUUGAUAAAGAUUUCCAAACAUCAAUGUCACCGCUUGGUCAGGAGACACCCAAAGAGAUCCAAUCAAGAGCAGCUCUGCGGUCAGAAACCGACCACUGAUUACAUGCUUGAACUCAAAUUGUGGGAACACAUAGGUUUCACUCUCUGACUGUGUAAAACAAAGUGCAGCUACAUGUUAGCAGUUUCUAAUAAUGUUGCUGAACAAUGUGUGUACAGUGUUUAUAUGUCUUAGAUGCCUGAACAGUUAUGAUUUAUCAGGCAAGAUGUGUUUAU